Gasterosteus aculeatus aculeatus (three-spined stickleback) is the source of this 513-nucleotide long non-coding RNA. The record is from Ensembl. NCBI's taxonomy places the organism in Eukaryota, Metazoa, Chordata, Actinopteri, Perciformes, Gasterosteidae.
UUGACAGUGAAGGGUGACAGCAGCAGGAAGGAAUGAGCUCCGGUUUCUCUUCUUCACACUUGAGUGAAGCAGCCUCUCACAAAAGAAGCUCUUCAUUCAGCUUCUUGACAUAUUUCAGUGAGUCAUGUUUGAGUCUAUUGUCUUCGAGCUAAUUGUGAAGCUUUAAGAAGUUUAUUUUUUUUUUCAUCUAAUGUUGUCUACAUCAUAAUAGACAGUCAGAUUCCACCGUGCACCUAAUUGUGUCACGAAUCGUCCAGGACGGGAACCCAAAAGCAGACCACACGGAAGAAUCAAAAUAAAAGCGCCUGGUGUCCUGCACUCCUCCACCUGCCCAUCUCCGCCCAAUCAUUUUAGACAUCUGCUUCAUCAACGCAUCAUUCUAUCAGCAACCACCACCACCAGUGUCUGUACUCCAUGGGGCGGAUAUAUCUUGGUGCUCAGGGGAACGGCCCUGUGAAGUGCAAGCGGCAACAACUCUGUCAAGACUGUCAUCGCAUAUCAUCUGUUAAUAAU